Carassius gibelio (silver crucian carp) is the source of this 999-nucleotide long non-coding RNA. RefSeq lists it as uncharacterized. Lineage: Eukaryota; Metazoa; Chordata; Actinopteri; Cypriniformes; Cyprinidae. The transcript is spliced from 4 exons. The record is from RefSeq and is a predicted model, not a curated record.
UGUCUUUUUUGUUGUAUUUAAAUAAUUAAUUAUAAAUCUGUCAUUUCCACACAGCAAAAAACGUUGGGUUGUUUUUUAACCCAACCGUUGGGUUACACAUAUUGGGUCAAUGUGUUGGGUUAUCUUAAAAUUUGUUGGGUAAUUUUUUUUUCGUCGUUGGGUUAUUUUGUUUUGUUGGGUUAAAUAUGUUUCCCGUUUCACUCCGGUUCAAAUUUUAACGGUAAAGUCGAGUCAGAGACUCAGCGUCAGCGCGGACAGAGGCAGCCUGCCUGAUUAUGAAGGACAAUGGACUUUUUCGUGAAGGAAAAAUAGAAUUUCUGCCUGUUAACUGAAAAAUUUCAAGGCCUUCGUGCAGAAAUUGUCUUUAAACCCUUCCUGCCAUCUGCACCAUACCACACAAAUGGAAAAUUGGUGUGCACAUCAUACACGGAAAUGAAGCGGUCCUUCAUUGACAUUCAACCUGUUGGCACUAAUAUAUAGUGCUGUACAUGAAUCACGAGACAAGCCAGAAUCCACGUCCUGGUGUUUGGUGACAAGGAAAACUGGAACAGAAGACAAUACUACAUGCAGUCGAUCUGUGUUUUAAACUUUUCUUUGUAUAUGGCAUCUACUACCCAAAGCCCUCUGCUCCCAUUUGAGAGUUUUUGGAACACACAGUCUUUAAUAGUUUCUUCUGCACACUAUCUCCUCCUUAAAAACUUUGUAUUUUGUAAUCAGUAAAAAACUUUUUUAUUUUAUUGAUAAUCAGUAGGUCCAGCAGCUGGUAUAUUUUUAUUAUUAUUACUUGAUUUUAUGAUUAUUUUUUGUUUUAUUAUUAUAUGUUAGGUUCAUUUUAUUUGAAAGUUGUAAUAUUUCCCAAGAAUGGUAACCCAUAUUUGGAAUUGGUGCUCUGCAUUUAACCCACCCUUCGGGUUACAGGUCCAACUCUCUAACCAUUAGGCCACAGCUGUGAACUGUAUUAGCACAUUUGUGUGUUUUGAUAUGAAUAUGAAUUGACAC